Molecule: long non-coding RNA, 1900 nt
Organism: Oncorhynchus keta (chum salmon)
Lineage: Eukaryota; Metazoa; Chordata; Actinopteri; Salmoniformes; Salmonidae
Exons: 7
Source: RefSeq, a predicted model, not a curated record
GUUUGUUGUUGUUGAUGUUUGUGUGUACUCCCUGGGAGGUAGGGAUCUAUGUUUGUUGUUGUUGAUGUUUGUGUGUACUCACUGGGAGGUAGUGAUCUAUGUUUGUUGAUGUUUGUGUGUACUCCCUGGGAGGUAGUGAUCUAUGUUUGUUGAUGUUGAUGUUUGUGUGUACUCACUGGGAGGUAGGGAUCUAUGUUUGUUGAUGUUUGUGUGUACUCACUGGGAGGUAGUGAUCUAUGUUUGUUGUUGUUGAUGUUUGUGUGUACUCACUGGGAGGUAGUGAUCUAUGUUUGUUGAUGUUUGUGUGUACUCACUGGGAGGUAGUGAUCUAUGUUUGUUGUUGUUGAUGUUUGUGUGUACUCACUGGGAGGUAGUGAUCUAUGUUUGUUGAUGUUUGUGUGUACUCACUGGGAGGUAGUGAUCUAUGUUUGUUGUUGUUGAUGUUUGUGUGUACUCACUGGGAGGUAGUGAUCUAUGUUUGUUGAUGUUUGUGUGUACUCACUGGGAGGUAGGGAUCUAUGUUUGUUGAUGUUUGUGUGUACUCACUGGGAGGUAGGGAUCUAUGUUUGUUGAUGUUUGUGUGUACUCACUGGGAGGUAGGGAUCUAUGUUUGUUGUUGUUGAUGUUUGUGUGUACUCACUGGGAGGUAGUGAUCUAUGUUUGUUGAUGUUUGUGUGUACUCACUGGGAGGUAGGGAUCUAUGUUUGUUGUUGUUGAUGUUUGUGUGUACUCCCUGGGAGGUAGUGAUCUAUGUUUGUUGAUGUUGAUGUUUGUGUGUACUCACUGGGAGGUAGUGAUCUAUGUUUGUUGUUGUUGAUGUUUGUGUGUACUCACUGGGAGGUAGUGAUCUAUGUUUGUUGUUGUUGAUGUUUGUGUGUACUCACUGGGAGGUAGGGAUCUAUGUUUGUUGAUGUUUGUGUGUACUCACUGGGAGGUAGGGAUCUAUGUUUGUUGAUGUUUGUGUGUACUCACUGGGAGGUAGGGAUCUAUGUUUGUUGAUGUUUGUGUGUACUCCCUGGGAGGUAGUGAUCUAUGUUUGUUGAUGUUUGUGUGUACUCACUGGGAGGUAGUGAUCUAUGUUUGUUGAUGUUUGUGUGUACUCACUGGGAGGUAGUGAUCUAUGUUUGUUGUUGUUGAUGUUUGUGUGUACUCACUGGGAGGUAGUGAUCUAUGUUUGUUGAUGUUGAUGUUUGUGUGUACUCCCUGGGAGGUAGUGAUCUAUGUUUGUUGAUGUUGAUGUUUGUGUGUACUCACUGGGAGGUAGUGAUCUAUGUUUGUUGUUGUUGAUGUUUGUGUGUACUCACUGGGAGGUAGUGAUCUAUGUUUGUUGAUGUUUGUGUGUACUCACUGGGAGGUAGUGAUCUAUGUUUGUUGUUGUUGAUGUUUGUGUGUACUCACUGGGAGGUAGGGAUCUAUGUUUGUUGAUGUUUGUGUGUACUCACUGGGAGGUAGGGAUCUAUGUUUGUUGAUGUUUGUGUGUACUCACUGGGAGGUAGUGAUCUAUGUUUGUUGUUGUUGAUGUUUGUGUGUACUCACUGGGAGGUAGUGAUCUAUGUUUGUUGUUGUUGAUGUUUGUGUGUACUCACUGGGAGGUAGGGCUCUAUGUUUGUUGUUGUUGAUGUUUGUGUGUACUCACUGGGAGGUAGGGAUCUAUGUUUGUUGAUGUUUGUGUGUACUCACUGGGAGGUAGGGAUCUAUGUUUGUUGAUGUUUGUGUGUACUCACUGGGAGGUAGUGAUCUAUGUUUGUUGUUGUUGAUGUUUGUGUGUACUCACUGGGAGGUAGUGAUCUAUGUUUGUUGUUGUUGAUGUUUGUGUGUACUCACUGGGAGGUAGGGCUCUAUGUUUGUUGAUGUUUGUGUGUACUCACUGGGAGGUAGGGAUCUAUGUUUGUUGAUGUUU